RNAcentral lists this long non-coding RNA (1119 nucleotides) under Sus scrofa (pig). RNAcentral's name for it is "lncRNA (ENSSSCG00070001943.1)". The record is from RNAcentral. Lineage: Eukaryota; Metazoa; Chordata; Mammalia; Artiodactyla; Suidae.
UCAGAUGGCGGAGAGGGAGCGUCUGUAGCUGAGACAGAGGUGGAGCCCCGAGACACACCCCCAUCACAGCCUCGGAGCUGCCUCCCUCCGCUCCCUCCCGGUGCUGGGGUUGGGGUGGGCGGAGAGGCUGAGUCAGGGAGGGGAGAGCCCCUCCGUGGGCAUCCGGCCCCCACCCCCGUGUCUCCGUCUGUCCUCCCUCCAGGCUCCUCGGGCUGCCGCAACCCCCCCCCAUGUCUGACACCUCUGUGCGUCCUGCCAAAGCUGAAACUGCCUCCCUGUCCCUUCUCCCCGCUGCUGCUGCUUCCUCCACCUCCCCCCCACCCCCUGUCCCUUUUAUUCAGCCGCUGCAGCUGUCGCGUCUCCCCAUGGCUUUUCAUCUCCCCUCUCAGCCCCUUCUCGCCUCUGCCUCCUCUCUCCCUCAACCCCUUCUCUUCUGGGCCUCAGCUUCCCUCACUGUCUCCGCUUCCCAUCCUUUCUUUCGGAGUCCCCCCCCCUCCUCUCUUCACCCUCAUUUUUUCCUACCCCUCUCCGCUGUCUUGGCCCACCCGCCGCCGCCUCCUGUCUCGGCUGGUCUCUCUCCCAGGCCCAGCAGGGAGGUCCAGGUCAGGGGUUCACUGGUGGUCCCUGGGAGCCCAGAAUGAGGGGUCACCACCUCGCCCCCACCCAGAAAGGGGGUGGGAAGGGGCAGUGAGGCUGUGGCCUGUCUGGCCAGAAGGAAGUGACUGUGCUGUGGCCUGGUCACCCCCGCCCCCAGGACCUGCCGGUCUGCUGCCGCCCCCAGGCUGGGGCCGAGUAAACACAGCCUCCGGCAGCCUGAGAUAUUUAUACCGAGGUCCGGGCACAGGUCCAGUGCCCACCACAGCCCGUGCCCUGCCCUGUCCGCCACGGCCAGCCCCGAGCCAACGUGGCACCAGCCGGCAAGGGGACGCCGCAGACACAGCCUCCACUCAGCACGGAGGCUGCCCGGCGCAUCGCUCAGGAUGCCAGCGGCUUCACUGGAGAGACAGGAUGCCCCCCUUCCCUGGAAACACCAGCGCAGAUGCAGCCCCGCACGUGCAGCUGCUCGUGAACGUGAACACACUCACCCCAUCGAAAAUUCAAAGUGAGAGAGCAAAAUAG